This 468-nucleotide ribosomal RNA is filed under the name uncultured bacterium. RNAcentral's name for it is "partial 16S ribosomal RNA". It matches the Rfam family "Bacterial small subunit ribosomal RNA", at positions 28 to 507 of the family's 1533-position model. The record is from RNAcentral.
GACGAACGCUGGCGGCGUGCUUAACACAUGCAAGUCGAACGGAAAGGCCCUGCUUUUGUGGGGUGCUCGAUUGGCGAACGGGUGAGUAACACGUGAGUAACCUGCCCUUGACUUUGGGAUAACUUCAGGAAACUGGGGCUAAUACCGGAUAGGAUCUCCUGCUGCAUGGUGGGGUUUGUAAAUUUUCGGCGGUUGGGGAUGGUCUCGAGGCUUAUCAGCUUGUUGGUGGGGUAGUGGCUUACCAAGGGUUUGACGGGUAGCCGGCCUGAGAGGGUGACCGGCGACAUUGGGACUGAGAUACGGCCCAGACUCCAACGGGAGGCAGCAGUGGGGAAUAUUGCACAAGGGGCGGAAGCCUGAUGCAGCAACGCAGCGGGCGGGAUGACGGCCUUCGGGUUGUAAACCGCUUUCGCCUGUGACGAAGCGUGAGUGACGGUAAUGGGUAAAGAAGCACCGGCUAACUACGUG